UAUGGCUCAGGACGAACGCUGGCGGCGUGCCUAAUACAUGCAAGUCGAGCGGACAGAAGGGAGCUUGCUCCCGGAUGUUAGCGGCGGACGGGUGAGUAACACGUGGGUAACCUGCCUGUAAGACUGGGAUAACUCCGGGAAACCGGAGCUAAUACCGGAUAGUUCCUUGAACCGCAUGGUUCAAGGAUGAAAGACGGUUUCGGCUGUCACUUACAGAUGGACCCGCGGCGCAUUAGCUAGUUGGUGGGGUAAUGGCUCACCAAGGCGACGAUGCGUAGCCGACCUGAGAGGGUGAUCGGCCACACUGGGACUGAGACACGGCCCAGACUCCUACGGGAGGCAGCAGUAGGGAAUCUUCCGCAAUGGACGAAAGUCUGACGGAGCAACGCCGCGUGAGUGAUGAAGGUUUUCGGAUCGUAAAGCUCUGUUGUUAGGGAAGAACAAGUGCGAGAGUAACUGCUCGCACCUUGACGGUACCUAACCAGAAAGCCACGGCUAACUACGUGCCAGCAGCCGCGGUAAUACGUAGGUGGCAAGCGUUGUCCGGAAUUAUUGGGCGUAAAGGGCUCGCAGGCGGUUUCUUAAGUCUGAUGUGAAAGCCCCCGGCUCAACCGGGGAGGGUCAUUGGAAACUGGGAAACUUGAGUGCAGAAGAGGAGAGUGGAAUUCCACGUGUAGCGGUGAAAUGCGUAGAGAUGUGGAGGAACACCAGUGGCGAAGGCGACUCUCUGGUCUGUAACUGACGCUGAGGAGCGAAAGCGUGGGGAGCGAACAGGAUUAGAUACCCUGGUAGUCCACGCCGUAAACGAUGAGUGCUAAGUGUUAGGGGGUUUCCGCCCCUUAGUGCUGCAGCUAACGCAUUAAGCACUCCGCCUGGGGAGUACGGUCGCAAGACUGAAACUCAAAGGAAUUGACGGGGGCCCGCACAAGCGGUGGAGCAUGUGGUUUAAUUCGAAGCAACGCGAAGAACCUUACCAGGUCUUGACAUCCUCUGACAACCCUAGAGAUAGGGCUUUCCCUUCGGGGACAGAGUGACAGGUGGUGCAUGGUUGUCGUCAGCUCGUGUCGUGAGAUGUUGGGUUAAGUCCCGCA
RNAcentral lists this ribosomal RNA (1091 nucleotides) under Bacillus pumilus. RNAcentral describes it as "bacterial SSU rRNA". It matches the Rfam family "Bacterial small subunit ribosomal RNA", at positions 18 to 1091 of the family's 1533-position model. The record is from RNAcentral. Lineage: Bacteria; Bacillati; Bacillota; Bacilli; Caryophanales; Bacillaceae.